Molecule: ribosomal RNA, 484 nt
Filed under: uncultured bacterium
Lineage: Bacteria
Description: partial 16S ribosomal RNA
Rfam family: Bacterial small subunit ribosomal RNA
Source: RNAcentral
AUUGAACGCUGGCGGCAGGCCUAACACAUGCAAGUCGAGCGGAUGAAGGGAGCUUGCUCCUGGAUUCAGCGGCGGACGGGUGAGUAAUGCCUAGGAAUCUGCCUGGUAGUGGGGGAUAACGUCCGGAAACGGGCGCUAAUACCGCAUACGUCCUGAGGGAGAAAGUGGGGGAUCUUCGGACCUCACGCUAUCAGAUGAGCCUAGGUCGGAUUAGCUAGUUGGUGGGGUAAAGGCCUACCAAGGCGACGAUCUGUAACUGAUCUGAGAGGAUGAUCAGUCACACUGGAACUGAGACACGGUCCAGACUCCUACGGGAGGCAGCAGUGGGGAAUAUUGGACAAUGGGCGAAAGCCUGAUCCAGCCAUGCCGCGUGUGUGAAGAAGGUCUUCGGAUUGUAAAGCACUUUAAGUUGGGAGGAAGGGAAGUAAGUUAAUACCUUGCUGUUUUGACGUUACCAACAGAAUAAGCACCGGCUAACUUCGUG